UCCCUGUGGCUUAAAUGGUAAAGAAUCUGCCUGCAAUGCAGGAGACCUGGGUUCGAUUCCUGGGUUGGGAA
This 71-nucleotide transfer RNA is filed under the name Ovis aries (sheep). It matches the Rfam family "tRNA". From Rfam's summary of the family: Transfer RNA (tRNA) molecules are approximately 80 nucleotides in length. Their secondary structure includes four short double-helical elements and three loops (D, anti-codon, and T loops). Lineage: Eukaryota; Metazoa; Chordata; Mammalia; Artiodactyla; Bovidae. The record is from Rfam by way of RNAcentral. RNAcentral also lists the same sequence under 1 other name.